Molecule: RNA transcript, 1601 nt
Organism: Triticum aestivum (bread wheat)
Lineage: Eukaryota; Viridiplantae; Streptophyta; Magnoliopsida; Poales; Poaceae
Gene name: peptidyl-tRNA hydrolase 2, mitochondrial
Exons: 10
Source: RefSeq, a predicted model, not a curated record
AAAAAAAAGUAACACGACGACGACGCUAUCUCAGUUCAGUUCAACACAGCAGCACUGCCUCUGUCUCCCCUCUGCUCCCAAUCCAUGGCUGCUCCGCCGCGGCGAAACCCCAACCACGGCGGCAAGAGGAAGGAUGAGGAGCCGUGGCUCGCGGCGGGCAUCCGCCCGGCCAACUUCCUCCCGGGCCUGGCCAUCGGGUUCCUCCUCGGCCUCUCCUCCUCCUGGAGGCCGAGGAUCAGCCUCCCGUCUGCCCCGGCGCCACGGGGCUCCAAGCGGGCCGCCGUCGGUUCGUCCGCCGCCCCAGCACCAGGCGAAGAGCUCAAGAUGGUUUUAGUUGUGCGUCAGGAUCUUAAGAUGGGGGCUGGGAAAAUAGCGUCUCAAUGUGCCCAUGCGGCAACUGGCUUGUACGCGGAUCUGUUGGCAAGCAACCGAGUUCUUUUGAGACAAUGGGAACAGUUCGGACCAUGCAAGAAUCAACAGGAAAUGAACAGGAUAAAGGAAACUGCAGAACACCGAGGUAUCCCAACUUUUGUUGUUGCAGAUGCAGGUCGCACACAGGUACUGGCUGGGUCUAAGACAGUUCUUGCAGUAGGGCCAGGGAGGAAAGCAGACAUAGAUUCAGUUACUGGGAAAUUGCGCUUACUGUGAGCUGCAUCUUGGGCAUGAACAUCCACCACAGUCCGGUUUUAUCAUCCCGGUUUGAGAACCGGAAUGCUUUGGUUCGGCCAGGAGCAUCAGCCCGGUUUUAUCAUCUCGUGCAAGCGCCGCCUGCUCUUUUGCCGUCUCUUUUUGCACCGAUGGAUACGUACGGCGACGAGUGGUUUACACGUCCGAAAGCAAAGCAAAGCAGAGCACAUAAACCGGCGUCCGGGCUGAUCAAUCGGUAGCAUGGCACUGUGGGCAUAUGAUGGUCGGCAGCGCUGCCGUGCCAUGCGCCCAACUUAUUUUCCUGCACGACGGGAGUGCCUGCCCGAAUAUGGAGCCCCGGCCGGCAGUAGGAACAGGGGGUUGUAUAGAAACAGAGCUUACGGUAGAAGAAUAGAAAAAAGAUACUGGGCCGUUGGAUCAGCCACGUACGCCACAGAUUCCAGAGGAUGGAUCUGUACUCAUAACUACACAACUCUGUGCAAAAACGUCCCCUUUUUCCCAACUAAUUUGCUUUAGGUCCCUCUCCUUCAAAACGACUCUCCCUGUCGCUCGCUCCCCUGUUCCCCAAUCUCGUGGCGGCUGCCUAGAUAAGCAGAUCCGGUGCUUCCGUGGUGGACGACGGCACCUUCUCCCUGCCUCCUCCCAUCCUACUCCGGCAUCCACGUUGCUUGGCUCCGUCCCCAGGCAUCUCCUCGCCUCCUUGGCCUCGCAGGAUUAGCAACAAGAUUUAGCUCCAAAGCGCCUCACCUGUGGUUUUAAUUAUAUCUGCUGAAACGGUCAAGCCCACUGCAUUUAUUUUCAAAGGAGUGAAGAGAGAGUCAGAGCAAAAAUACACGAGCAGAGUAGAUUUUGGUGAGAGCCUGAGAAAACUGAAUAUUUGGCAUGCGUAUACGGAUGUCGUGUGGUGUGUCGCAACCUUGUGAUACAGGAACAUCCUAUUAGUGGUUCUCGUU